GAUGAACGCUGGCGGCGUGCUUAACACAUGCAAGUCGAACGGUGAAGGCGGAGCUUGCUCUGCUGGAUCAGUGGCGAACGGGUGAGUAACACGUGAGCAAUCUGCCCCUGACUCUGGGAUAAGCGCUGGAAACGGCGUCUAAUACUGGAUACGAGCUGCGAAGGCAUCUUCAGCAGCCGGAAAGAAUUUCGGUCAGGGAUGAGCUCGCGGCCUAUCAGCUUGUUGGUGAGGUAAUGGCUCACCAAGGCGUCGACGGGUAGCCGGCCUGAGAGGGUGACCGGCCACACUGGGACUGAGACACGGCCCAGACUCCUACGGGAGGCAGCAGUGGGGAAUAUUGCACAAUGGGCGAAAGCCUGAUGCAGCAACGCCGCGUGAGGGACGACGGCCUUCGGGUUGUAAACCUCUUUUAGCAGGGAAGAAGCGAAAGUGACGGUACCUGCAGAAAAAGCGCCGGCUAACUACGUG
Molecule: ribosomal RNA, 468 nt
Filed under: uncultured bacterium
Lineage: Bacteria
Description: partial 16S ribosomal RNA
Rfam family: Bacterial small subunit ribosomal RNA
Source: RNAcentral